UGAUAGGAGCAUAUUUAUGCAACUUAGUUAGCUUGUUUCUUGGAAUUUACUUAGUUUAAUUCUAGUUAUUUUAGUACUUUAAGCUAUUUUCGUGUGUUUGUAGGUUCAAAUAACAAAGUUAGCAACAAAGUGCUAUUUGGAGCAUUUUUGAGCAUUUUUGGGCCAAGAUUGGAUAGUGCAAGUAUGGAGACAUGAGGAUGGACGUUUUUGAAGAUUUGAAGGCUAGAAAUCAGCAUGUAUGUGUGCAAGUGUGUUGAUCUACAACUACAAACAUCCAUCCACUACACCCAUUACAUCCACUCAUUACCAAACAUUCAUCCAUUACACUCAUUACAUCCACUCAUUACCAAACACUCACCCACUACACCCAUUACAUCCACUCAUUACCAAACAUUCACCCACUACACCCAUUACAUCCACAAACAUUCACCCACUACACCCAUUACAUCCACUCAUUACCAAACAUUCACCCACUACACCCAUUA
RNAcentral lists this long non-coding RNA (485 nucleotides) under Malus domestica (apple). RNAcentral's name for it is "long non-coding RNA (MDOM_LNC013893)". The record is from RNAcentral. Lineage: Eukaryota; Viridiplantae; Streptophyta; Magnoliopsida; Rosales; Rosaceae.